CCUUAACUUGAGGGGUGAACAACUUAGUGCUUGAUCCUCCAGGGUUACCUGCAAAGUGAUUCGAUUAUCCAUUGAGCGAAAGAGCAAAUCACCUACUUGAGGCGGUGGAAAGCGUAUGGAAGUUAUAUUAGAGCUUCAGCAAAGUGCACAGCUGCAUAAUGCAGAAGCCUGAAUUCAGAUUGACAGGCAAAUAAGCCGGCUUGUGGAAGGGGCCUCUGGGUAGCAGCUCUGGGCUGUUGGGUGUUGGACAACUCUAGGCAAAACUGAAAAGGAACAGGGGCAGAAAAUAGCACACUCUUACUCUACGCAACUGUUGUUUUCUCAUGACCAUGCUCCAGACCUCUGAGCUGCUUCUGCUUCUGUUCAUUUCUACUACUGCACUCUAAGUGAAAGUAUAAGUAUGUUGUUCCUGGACCAUACCUAGGCCGCUAAAUUUUCUCCCUAUUUCUCCAAAGCCACCCCAUUCUUACUCUUUCAGCCGCGUCCUAUCAAGCAGCCAGAAUAAUGUCACAAAUAAGAUCAUCAGGAAAUUUACUGGGAUAAUUCCAAGCAUUGUAUCUAAGAGGGGAUCGAACUCGGGUCAUUGCACUUGCAAAGCAGGUGACAGAAACACUGAGCUAAAUCCCCAGGCCCCUGGGAGUCGUUUUGGUGUUGGGUGUUUUGAUCAACAACAAGGAAAGUAAGAACAGACAGAAAAAUAUAGUGUUCCACCUAUGGGAAAAUCUUUGUGGAUACUCCACAGUCCAAGGAAAAAGGAAGAAGAAUAAAAGAAAGGGAGAGAUGAGAAAAGAGGAGAAAAGUAAUGGAGCUGCUUCUGAGAUGAAGAAAACUCCCAAUGUGAAGUUCAAACAAAGAACAGAAUGAAAUACAUAUGGGUAUCUUCAACGAUUAUACAGAGGAAAUUUUAUUCACCUAUAAAGGCAUUUGAACUGGGCAAACAGGACGACAGCAGCAGUGAGCAUGAGAUCAUUGCAGCCCUGUAGCAAACUGGCAUCCUGCCUUUUCACCACUUUGGUUCGGGAGACAAACGUGUGCAAUCCUCAUUUCUAAAGUCAGCACAGCCUGGAAGGAUUCCUGGUCUCUCCCACCUUCUACCAUUCUGCUGCCAGUGACGGCAAGGAUUGGUGCAGUUUCUGCGCAGUGCUUUGUGCCUGGAAUACCGAGAAGGAAGAAAAAGAAGACAAGCUUUCUGGUUCUUCUCUUCUAAGAAAUAACAGGAGCCCUGAAGAAAAAAAAAUCUGAGUUUGUCUUACUACAUGCAAGAGUUCUGAAAGAGAGAGAGAAAGACGCUCCUGCUCAAAAACAAAAAAACAAAAACAAACAAAAAUCCAAUCCAAAAAACAAACAAACAAAAAAAAGCAAACAUUGGCUUACAUAACUGCAGAGACAUCGGGCUUUCUAAAGCAGCUUUUGAAGGCAACAUAACCAAAUGAGCCUUCUUUAUUUUUACUAUUUCAAAAAAUAUGGCAUGAUUAGCAAUACAUUGCACUUGGUGAAAUCGCACCUUUCAUAUCAGGGAAAAACUUAAAAUGGAUAUGAGAAGUGAAGAAAGUGAUCAUAGGAGAAAAUCAUCUAAGAUCAACCACUUCAGAAGAACCAGAUUCCACUUCUAUGACCAGGACUUUUAUGUUAUGGCUGGUCCGAUUGUUUUACCCUGCGUUCUAUGCUACUAAACCUUGGAUCAUUCCUAAAGUACAAAUUCUGUUCUUGAACCACAAACAAGCUAAAAGAUCGGAGGAAAUUCAGUGAAUAUGCAGGAUUGGGAUUGUGUGUUUUCAAAAGUGUUGAGAUUUAUAAUGCAAUCAUUCAAGAAAUAGAAUCAUUUUUUUAUGUUGUUGCCAGCAUUUUAAGUUAGCUGUUUAUUAAGUGACAUUCAUCAAAUAACUACAGAUUAUGCAUGGAAAUAUUUGCUGUCUGAAUAGUUUGGAGAUUUAACGAGAAAAUCAAGCUUCAGAGGUGUCUGAGGAUUUGUGAGCAUCAAGUGAAUGUUCUAUGGAAUCAUCUUUCCUUGCCUUUGAAUUACCUUUCCCUAGGCCAUGAGUCAACAUCCAUAUUUUAUUCUUCCAAAUUGAAUGAAGAAAUACAGACUUCCAUCUUGGAUUACCACCCUGCCAAAAGUCUGACGAGGGAUUGCAUUAUAUAUUUCCUGCAUCCAAGUGACUCAAUGACCAACCAAUUCUUACUAAAGAAUUUCCCAUCUGGAAUUCAGUUCUCUUCCUCUGGGAGGCUGAGAAUGAAGUACUGGAGGAAGCUCAACAGCUUUUACACUAAUGAAUAUAACUCUUCAUGGAAGCACAAAGAAGGAAUAUGAAGGUUUCCUUCCAAAUAGGUGCCAAAUUGUGGAAGAUAGAAUGAUUUUCUGGCCUCCAGAACCCAGAGAUCAA
This 2384-nucleotide long non-coding RNA is filed under the name Heterocephalus glaber (naked mole-rat). RNAcentral's name for it is "lncRNA (ENSHGLG00000040128.1)". Lineage: Eukaryota; Metazoa; Chordata; Mammalia; Rodentia; Bathyergidae. The record is from RNAcentral.